RNAcentral lists this small nuclear RNA (104 nucleotides) under Chinchilla lanigera (long-tailed chinchilla). The record is from RNAcentral. Lineage: Eukaryota; Metazoa; Chordata; Mammalia; Rodentia; Chinchillidae.
GUGCUCACUUCGGCAGCACAUAGACAAAAGCUGGAACAAUACAGAGAUUAGCUUGGCUGCCGCGUGAGGAUGACAUGCAAAUUCAUGAAGCUUUCCAUAUGCUA